Molecule: long non-coding RNA, 205 nt
Filed under: Mytilus galloprovincialis (Mediterranean mussel)
Lineage: Eukaryota; Metazoa; Mollusca; Bivalvia; Mytilida; Mytilidae
Source: RNAcentral
CUUGUAUUAUAAAAGGUUGUUGAGUUUAAAUGAUAUGAUUCCUCAAUAAGCUCAAAAUAUCUUUUUCUCAUUCAGUGUGUAAGGUCAGUGAAUCUCAUUCACACAAAAAACAACUCUUAAUUUGUCUAUGGCUUGGAAUCAUUGGUAAAAUGGAAUUUAAUCUUUUUUUAUGUGCAAGCAAUAAAAUAUUGCUGCUAGAUAUAUA